GACGAACGCUGGCGGCGUGCUUAACACAUGCAAGUCGAACGGAAAGGCCCUGCUUGCCGGGUGCUCGAGUGGCGAACGGGUGAGUAACACGUGGGUGAUCUGCCCCUUACUUUGGGAUAAGCCUGGGAAACUGGGUCUAAUACUGGAUAGGACCAUGCUGUAGGUGGUGUGGUGGAAAGAUUAGUUUCGGUAAGGGAUGAGCUCGCGGCCUAUCAGCUUGUUGGUGGGGUAAUGGCCUACCAAGGCGUCGACGGGUAGCCGGCCUGAGAGGGUGGACGGCCACAUUGGGACUGAGAUACGGCCCAGACUCCUACGGGAGGCAGCAGUGGGGAAUAUUGCACAAUGGGCGCAAGCCUGGUGCAGCGACGCCGCGUGGGGGAUGACGGCCUUCGGGUUGUAAACUCCUUUCAGCCAUGACGAAGCCCUUGUGGUGACGGUAGUGGUAGAAGAAGCACCGGCUAACUACGUG
RNAcentral lists this ribosomal RNA (469 nucleotides) under uncultured bacterium. RNAcentral's name for it is "partial 16S ribosomal RNA". It matches the Rfam family "Bacterial small subunit ribosomal RNA", at positions 28 to 507 of the family's 1533-position model. The record is from RNAcentral.